This 253-nucleotide ribosomal RNA is filed under the name uncultured bacterium. RNAcentral's name for it is "partial 16S ribosomal RNA". It matches the Rfam family "Bacterial small subunit ribosomal RNA", at positions 524 to 776 of the family's 1533-position model. The record is from RNAcentral.
UACAGAGGAUGCAAGCGUUAUCCGGAAUGAUUGGGCGUAAAGAGCUUGUAGGUGGCUCGUUGCGUCGGGAGUGAAAACCUGCGGCUUAACCGCAGGCCUGCUUCCGAUACGGGCGAGCUAGAGUUCGGCAGGGGAGACUGGAAUUCCUGGUGUAGCGGUGGAAUGCGCAGAUAUCAGGAGGAACACCGGUGGCGAAGGCGGGUCUCUGGGCCGAUACUGACACUGAGACGCGAAAGCGUGGGGAGCAAACAGG